UGGAUCCAGACUUUGAUCAUGGCUCAGGAUGAACGCUAGCUACAGGCUUAACACAUGCAAGUCGAGGGGCAGCAUGAACUUAGCUUGCUAAGUUUGAUGGCGACCGGCGCACGGGUGAGUAACACGUAUCCAACCUUCCGUUUACUCAGGGAUAGCCUUUCGAAAGAAAGAUUAAUACCUGAUAGUAUGGUGAGAUUGCAUGAUAACACCAUUAAAGAUUCAUUGGUAAACGAUGGGGAUGCGUUCCAUUAGGUAGUAGGCGGGGUAACGGCCCACCUAACCAACGAUGGAUAGGGGUUCUGAGAGGAAGGUCCCCCACAUUGGAACUGAGACACGGUCCAAACCCCUACGGGAGGCAGCAGUGAGGAAUAUUGGUCAAUGGGCGCGAGCCUGAACCAGCCAAGUAGCGUGAAGGAUGAAGGUCCUACGGAUUGUAAACUUCUUUUAUAAGGGAAUAAAGUCGCCUACGUGUAGGCGUUUGUAUGUACCUUAUGAAUAAGCAUCGGCUAACUCCGUGCCAGCAGCCGCGGUAAUACGGAGGAUGCGAGCGUUAUCCGGAUUUAUUGGGUUUAAAGGGAGCGUAGACGGAGGAUUAAGUCAGUUGUGAAAGUUUGCGGCUCAACCGUAAAAUUGCAGUUGAUACUGGUCCCCUUGAGUGCAGUUGAGGCAGGCGGAAUUCGUGGUGUAGCGGUGAAAUGCUUAGAUAUCACGAAGAACCCCGAUUGCGAAGGCAGCCUGCUAAGCUGUAACUGACGUUGAUGCUCGAAAGUGUGGGUAUCAAACAGGAUUAGAUACCCUGGUAGUCCACACGGUAAACGAUGGAUACUCGCUGUUGGCGAUAUACUGUCAGCGGCCAAGCGAAAGCAUUAAGUAUCCCACCUGGGGAGUACGCCGGCAACGGUGCAACUCAAAUGAAUUGACGGA
RNAcentral lists this ribosomal RNA (924 nucleotides) under uncultured Bacteroidota bacterium. Its description in RNAcentral is "bacterial SSU rRNA". It matches the Rfam family "Bacterial small subunit ribosomal RNA", at positions 1 to 917 of the family's 1533-position model. The record is from RNAcentral. Lineage: Bacteria; Pseudomonadati; Bacteroidota.